RNAcentral lists this ribosomal RNA (505 nucleotides) under Salmonella enterica. Its description in RNAcentral is "bacterial SSU rRNA". It matches the Rfam family "Bacterial small subunit ribosomal RNA", at positions 875 to 1380 of the family's 1533-position model. Lineage: Bacteria; Pseudomonadati; Pseudomonadota; Gammaproteobacteria; Enterobacterales; Enterobacteriaceae. The record is from RNAcentral.
GGGGAGUACGGCCGCAAGGUUAAAACUCAAAUGAAUUGACGGGGGCCCGCACAAGCGGUGGAGCAUGUGGUUUAAUUCGAUGCAACGCGAAGAACCUUACCUGGUCUUGACAUCCACAGAAGAAUCCAGAGAUGGAUUUGUGCCUUCGGGAACUGUGAGACAGGUGCUGCAUGGCUGUCGUCAGCUCGUGUUGUGAAAUGUUGGGUUAAGUCCCGCAACGAGCGCAACCCUUAUCCUUUGUUGCCAGCGAUUAGGUCGGGAACUCAAAGGAGACUGCCAGUGAUAAACUGGAGGAAGGUGGGGAUGACGUCAAGUCAUCAUGGCCCUUACGACCAGGGCUACACACGUGCUACAAUGGCGCAUACAAAGAGAAGCGACCUCGCGAGAGCAAGCGGACCUCAUAAAGUGCGUCGUAGUCCGGAUUGGAGUCUGCAACUCGACUCCAUGAAGUCGGAAUCGCUAGUAAUCGUGGAUCAGAAUGCCACGGUGAAUACGUUCCCGGGCC